Molecule: ribosomal RNA, 947 nt
Filed under: Aptostichus atomarius
Lineage: Eukaryota; Metazoa; Arthropoda; Arachnida; Araneae; Euctenizidae
Description: partial 16S ribosomal RNA
Source: RNAcentral
UAGAUCUUGCUCCAAAGAGAUAAAUAAUUCAACAUCGAGGUCAUAAUCUUUUUCUUUUAUAAGAACUUUAAGAAAAAAUUGUGCUGUUAUCCCUACGGUAACUUGAUUAAAUCUCAGAUUGAGGCUAGAGAGAGAAUGAGAAAAAAGAUUUAGUUUUUUACCGCCCCAGUUCAACAAAAGUAAAGCUCGAUAGGGUCUUGUCGUCCUUCUUUAUUAUUCAAGUCUUUUUACUUGAAGGAAAAGUUAAAAUAGUUUGGUUAAUAAAGAAAUUUAUAUGUCAAACCUUUCAUUCUAGCCUUCAAUUAAAAGGCAAAUGAUUAUGCUACCUUAGCACAAGAAAAUUGCGGCUAUUUAAUAGAUCAUUGAGCAGGCCCUACUGAAUAUUAGAUCAUUCAGAAAUGUUUUUGAUAAACAGACAAUAAAUAUAUAAGCCGAGUUCAUGAACCUGAAUAUAGAAAUAAUAAACGGGGUGAGUUGAUAAAAAUGGGUCACAAUAAGUUUUACUAAUAAAAUCAUUGUAAGGGUUUUUAGGAAAGUCUCUUUUAAUAAAAUUCUUGAAAAUAAGCAACGGGAAAGUUUAAAAACUAGGGGGACACUAUUAAUCCUGAGAUUUUAAAUAUAAGAGAUGAUCAAUUCAUAAAAAAGAUUAUCCCUUUUUAAAUUUUGGUACUAUAACCUUCAAAGAGAACCAGAUAUAAUAGAAUGCGAAUGGAAUUUCAUCUCUAUAUUUACUUUAGAAAACUUUAUGAAACAAGCUUGAUAAGCAAAAAUAGAUCACUUCAAUUUCGGGAGCAUUUGUUAUAAAGGGGGAAUUGAUUCUCCCUGAUACUAAAGGUACAUUGCUUUUCUGUCUAACAAUUGAAAAUUUUCCCUCACGGUUAAAUUAUUACAAGAAAGUAACAGAAAGGAGAAAAUAUUAAUUUAAAUAAAUGUUUUUAGUAAGAAGU